Molecule: ribosomal RNA, 377 nt
Filed under: uncultured bacterium
Lineage: Bacteria
Description: bacterial SSU rRNA
Rfam family: Bacterial small subunit ribosomal RNA
Source: RNAcentral
UAAGACGAGCCUGACAAACGUUAUUCGGAAUUACUGGGCUUAAAGGGUGCGUAGGCGGUGUGGUAAGUCAGGCGUGAAAUACCUCAGCUUAACUGAGGAACUGCGUCCGAUACUACCAUGCUAGAGUGAGACAGAGGUGAGUGGAACUGAGGGUGGAGCGGUGAAAUGCGUUGAUAUCCUCAGGAACACCGGUGGCGAAGGCGACUCACUGGGUCUCAACUGACGCUGAUGCACGAAAGCUAGGGUAGCAAACGGGAUUAGAUACCCCGGUAGUCCUAGCCGUAAACUAUGAGCACUUGAUUGAAGGGUCCUCCAUAGCCUUUCAGUCGUAGCGAAAGUGUUAAGUGCUCCGCCUGGGGAGUAUGGUCGCAAGGCUG